UAGGGGGGGGGGGUGCUAAUACAUGCAGUCGAACGCUUCUUUCCUCCCGAGUGCUUGCACUCAAUUGGAAAGAGGAGUGGCGGACGGGUGAGUAACACGUGGGUAACCUACCCAUCAGAGGGGGAUAACACUUGGAAACAGGUGCUAAUACCGCAUAACAGUUUAUGCCGCAUGGCAUAAGAGUGAAAGGCGCUUUCGGGUGUCGCUGAUGGAUGGACCCGCGGUGCAUUAGCUAGUUGGUGAGGUAACGGCUCACCAAGGCCACGAUGCAUAGCCGACCUGAGAGGGUGAUCGGCCACACUGGGACUGAGACACGGCCCAGACUCCUACGGGAGGCAGCAGUAGGGAAUCUUCGGCAAUGGACGAAAGUCUGACCGAGCAACGCCGCGUGAGUGAAGAAGGUUUUCGGAUCGUAAAACUCUGUUGUUAGAGAAGAACAAGGACGUUAGUAACUGAACGUCCCCUGACGGUAUCUAACCAGAAAGCCACGGCUAACUACGUGCCAGCAGCCGCGGUAAUACGUAGGUGGCAAGCGUUGUCCGGAUUUAUUGGGCGUAAAGCGAGCGCAGGCGGUUUCUUAAGUCUGAUGUGAAAGCCCCCGGCUCAACCGGGGAGGGUCAUUGGAAACUGGGAGACUUGAGUGCAGAAGAGGAGAGUGGAAUUCCAUGUGUAGCGGUGAAAUGCGUAGAUAUAUGGAGGAACACCAGUGGCGAAGGCGGCUCUCUGGUCUGUAACUGACGCUGAGGCUCGAAAGCGUGGGGAGCAAACAGGAUUAGAUACCCUGGUAGUCCACGCCGUAAACGAUGAGUGCUAAGUGUUGGAGGGUUUCCGCCCUUCAGUGCUGCAGCAAACGCAUUAAGCACUCCGCCUGGGGAGUACGACCGCAAGGUUGAAACUCAAAGGAAUUGACGGGGGCCCGCACAAGCGGUGGAGCAUGUGGUUUAAUUCGAAGCAACGCGAAGAACCUUACCAGGUCUUGACAUCCUUUGACCACUCUAGAGAUAGAGCUUUCCCUUCGGGGACAAAGUGACAGGUGUGCAUGGAUGUCGUCAGCUCGUGUCGUGAGAUGUUGGGUUAGUCCCGCACGAGCGCACCCUUAUUGUUAGUUGCCAUCAUUAGUGGGCACUUCUAGCGAGACUGCGGUGACAACCGGAGAAGGUGGGGAUGAACGUCGAUCAUCAUGCCUUAUGACCUCUGGCUAACACUGCUCAUGGGGAGAUACACAAGUGCUCUUGAAUCACGCAGAGCAUGGUCUCAAAAUCUCUCUUCUU
This 1271-nucleotide ribosomal RNA is filed under the name Enterococcus faecalis. Its description in RNAcentral is "bacterial SSU rRNA". It matches the Rfam family "Bacterial small subunit ribosomal RNA", at positions 32 to 1292 of the family's 1533-position model. The record is from RNAcentral. Lineage: Bacteria; Bacillati; Bacillota; Bacilli; Lactobacillales; Enterococcaceae.